RNAcentral lists this ribosomal RNA (626 nucleotides) under uncultured Verrucomicrobiota bacterium. Its description in RNAcentral is "bacterial SSU rRNA". It matches the Rfam family "Bacterial small subunit ribosomal RNA", at positions 71 to 680 of the family's 1533-position model. The record is from RNAcentral. Lineage: Bacteria; Pseudomonadati; Verrucomicrobiota.
UCGUUGUAGCAAUACGAUGGAAAGUCUAGUGGCGAACGGGUGCUUAACACGUGGGCAACCUGCCAAGAAGUGGGGGAUAGCUCGCCGAAAGGCGGAUUAAUACCGCAUGUGAUUAGAGAGGACAUCCUUUCGAAAUUAAAGUCGGGGCAACCUGACGCUUCUUGUGGGGCCCGCGGCCUAUCAGCUAGUUGGUGGGGUAACGGCUCACCAAGGCUUUGACGGGUAGCUGGUCUGAGAGGACGACCAGCCACACUGGGACUGAGACACGGCCCAGACACCUACGGGUGGCAGCAGUCGAGAAUUUUUGACAAUGGGGGAAACCCUGAUCGAGCGACGCCGCGUGGAGGAUGAAGGUCUUCGGAUUGUAAACUCCUGUCAUUGGGGAACAAUGCGCAUAUAUUAACUGUAUUUGUGUUGAUAGUACCCGAAGAGGAAGAGACGGCUAACUCUGUGCCAGCAGCCGCGGUAAUACAGAGGUCUCAAGCGUUGUUCGGAUUCAUUGGGCGUAAAGGGUGCGUAGGCGGCGCGGUAAGUCGGGUGUGAAAUCUCGGAGCUUAACUCCGAAACUGCAUUCGAUACUGCCGUGCUUGAGGACUGGAGAGGAGACUGGAAUUCUCGGUGUAGCA